Molecule: ribosomal RNA, 496 nt
Filed under: uncultured bacterium
Lineage: Bacteria
Description: partial 16S ribosomal RNA
Rfam family: Bacterial small subunit ribosomal RNA
Source: RNAcentral
AUGAACGCUGGCGGCGUGCCUAAUACAUGCCAGUCGAGCGAACGGACGAGAAGCUUGCUUCUCUGAUGUUAGCGGCGGACGGGUGAGUAACACGUGGAUAACCUACCUAUAAGACUGGGAUAACUUCGGGAAACCGGAGCUAAUACCGGAUAAUAUUUUGAACCGCAUGGUUCAAAAGUGAAAGACGGUCUUGCUGUCACUUAUAGAUGGAUCCGCGCUGCAUUAGCUAGUUGGUAAGGUAACGGCUUACCAAGGCAACGAUGCAUAGCCGACCUGAGAGGGUGAUCGGCCACACUGGAACUGAGACACGGUCCAGACUCCUACGGGAGGCAGCAGUAGGGAAUCUUCCGCAAUGGGCGAAAGCCUGACGGAGCAACGCCGCGUGAGUGAUGAAGGUCUUCGGAUCGUAAAACUCUGUUAUUAGGGAAGAACAUAUGUGUAAGUAACUGUGCACAUCUUGACGGUAUCUAAUCAGAAAGCCACGGCUAACUACGUG